This 305-nucleotide ribosomal RNA is filed under the name uncultured bacterium. RNAcentral's name for it is "bacterial SSU rRNA". It matches the Rfam family "Bacterial small subunit ribosomal RNA", at positions 492 to 798 of the family's 1533-position model. The record is from RNAcentral.
AUCGGCCUACGGGGGGCAGCAGCCGCGGUAAUACGGAGGAUGCGAGCGUUAUCCGGAUUUAUUGGGUUUAAAGGGUGCGUAGGCGGACUGUUAAGUCAGCGGUAAAAGCCCGGGGCUCAACCCCGGCGAGCAGUUGAAACUGGCUGUCUUGAGAUGUCGAGAGGUAUGCGGAAUGCGCAGUGUAGCGGUGAAAUGCUUAGAUAUUGCGCAGAACUCCGAUUGCGAAGGCAGCAUACCGGCGGCGAUCUGACGCUGAGGCACGAAAGCGUGGGGAUCGAACAGGAUUAGAUACCCUAGUAGUCCAG